This 1346-nucleotide ribosomal RNA is filed under the name uncultured bacterium. RNAcentral's name for it is "partial 16S ribosomal RNA". It matches the Rfam family "Bacterial small subunit ribosomal RNA", at positions 28 to 1381 of the family's 1533-position model. The record is from RNAcentral.
GACGAACGCUGGCGGCGUGCUUAACACAUGCAAGUCGAACGGAAAGGCCCUGCUUUUGUGGGGCGCUCGAGUGGCGAACGGGUGAGUAACACGUGAGUAACCUGCCCUUGACUUUGGGAUAACUUCAGGAAACUGGGGCUAAUACCGGAUAGGAGCUCCUGCUGCAUGGUGGGGGUUGAAAAGUUUCGGCGGUUGGGGAUGGACUCGCGGCUUAUCAGCUUGUUGGUGGGGUAGUGGCUUACCAAGGCUUUGACGGGUAGCCGGCCUGAGAGGGUGACCGGCCACAUUGGGACUGAGAUACGGCCCAGACUCCUACGGGAGGCAGCAGUGGGGAAUAUUGCACAAUGGGCGGAAGCCUGAUGCAGCAACGCCGCGUGCGGGAUGACGGCCUUCGGGUUGUAAACCGCUUUCGCCUGUGACGAAGCGUGAGUGACGGUAAUGGGUAAAGAAGCACCGGCUAACUACGUGCCAGCAGCCGCGGUGAUACGUAGGGUGCGAGCGUUGUCCGGAUUUAUUGGGCGUAAAGGGCUCGUAGGUGGUUGAUCGCGUCGGAAGUGUAAUCUUGGGGCUUAACCCUGAGCGUGCUUUCGAUACGGGUUGACUUGAGGAAGGUAGGGGAGAAUGGAAUUCCUGGUGGAGCGGUGGAAUGCGCAGAUAUCAGGAGGAACACCAGUGGCGAAGGCGGUUCUCUGGGCCUUUCCUGACGCUGAGGAGCGAAAGCGUGGGGAGCGAACGGGCUUAGAUACCCUGGUAGUCCACGCUGUAAACGGUGGGUACUAGGUGUGGGGUCCAUUCCACGGGUUCCGUGCCGUAGCUAACGCUUUAAGUACCCCGCCUGGGGAGUACGGCCGCAAGGCUAAAACUCAAAGGAAUUGACGGGGCCCCGCACAAGCGGCGGAGCAUGCGGAUUAAUUCGAUGCAACGCGUAGAACCUUACCUGGGUUUGACAUGGAUCGGGAGUGCUCAGAGAUGGGUGUGCCUCUUUUGGGGUCGGUUCACAGGUGGUGCAUGGCUGUCGUCAGCUCGUGUCGUGAGAUGUUGGGUUAAGUCCCGCAACGAGCGCAACCCUUGUUCACUGUUGCCAGCACGUUAUGGUGGGGACUCAGUGGAGACCGCCGGGGUCAACUCGGAGGAAGGUGGGGAUGACGUCAAGUCAUCAUGCCCCUUAUGUCCAGGGCUUCACGCAUGCUACAAUGGCUGGUACAGAGAGUGGCGAGCCUGUGAGGGUGAGCGAAUCUCGGAAAGCCGGUCUCAGUUCGGAUUGGGGUCUGCAACUCGACCUCAUGAAGUCGGAGUCGCUAGUAAUCGCAGAUCAGCAACGCUGCGGUGAAUACGUUCCCGGGGCU